GACAGAGGGUGCAAACGUUGCUCGGAAUCACUGGGCGUAAAGGGCGUGUAGGCGGGACGGUAAGUCGGGCGUGAAAUCCCUAGGCUCAACCCCGCGCUUGCAUUCGAUACGGGCAGGCUCGAGUUCGGUAGGGGAGACUGGAAUUCCUGGUGUAGCGGUGAAAUGCGCAGAUAUCAGGAGGAACACCGGUGGCGAAGGCGGGUCUCUGGGCCGAUACUGACGCUGAGGAGCGAAAGCGUGGGGAGCGAACAGG
Molecule: ribosomal RNA, 253 nt
Filed under: uncultured bacterium
Lineage: Bacteria
Description: partial 16S ribosomal RNA
Rfam family: Bacterial small subunit ribosomal RNA
Source: RNAcentral